RNAcentral lists this unclassified non-coding RNA (179 nucleotides) under Glomus indicum. RNAcentral's name for it is "partial internal transcribed spacer region". The stretch from base 1 to 46 matches the Rfam family "Eukaryotic small subunit ribosomal RNA", at positions 1786 to 1831 of the family's 1831-position model. The record is from RNAcentral. Lineage: Eukaryota; Fungi; Glomeromycota; Glomeromycetes; Glomerales; Glomeraceae.
AAGUCGUAACAAGGUUUCCGUAGGUGAACCUGCGGAAGGAUCAUUACCAAUAUAGCGAACCGAGCGUUAGCGAGGCUUCGCGAUCAAAUUGUAUUUAAAACCCAACUCUUUAAAUGUAUAUUAUUAUUAUAUUUUAAAUAAUAAAAAGAUCACUUUCAACAACGGAUCUCUUGGCUCUG